This 855-nucleotide ribosomal RNA is filed under the name Hypotrachyna polydactyla. RNAcentral's name for it is "eukaryotic LSU rRNA". It matches the Rfam family "Eukaryotic large subunit ribosomal RNA", at positions 71 to 941 of the family's 3401-position model. The record is from RNAcentral. Lineage: Eukaryota; Fungi; Ascomycota; Lecanoromycetes; Lecanorales; Parmeliaceae.
GGGAUUGCCUUAGUAACGGCGAGUGAAGCGGCAACAGCUCAGAGUUGAAAUCUGGCCCCUCCGGGGUCCGAGUUGUAAUCUGUAGAGAGUGUUUCGGGCGAGGCCACGGUCUAAGUUUGUUGGAACACGGCGUCAUAGAGGGUGAGAAUCCCGUAUGUGACCGUGGCCCGAGCCCAUGUGAAGCCUCUUCGACGAGUCGAGUUGUUUGGGAAUGCAGCUCAAAAUGGGUGGUAAAUUUCAUCUAAAGCUAAAUACGGGCUGGAGACCGAUAGCGCACAAGUAGAGUGAUCGAAAGAUGAAAAGCACUUUGGAAAGAGAGUGAAACAGUACGUGAAAUUGUUGAAAGGGAAGCGCUGGCAACCAGACCUGUCCGCGGGCGAUCAGCCGCUGUUCUCAGCGGUGCACUCGCCCCGCGAUCAGGCCAGCAUCGGUUUCGGCGGUCGGAUAAAGGCCUGGGGAACGUAGCUCCCUCUCGGGGGAGUGUUAUAGCCCCGGGCGCAAUGCGGCCAGCCGGGACCGAGGACCGCGCUUCGGCUAGGAUGCUGGCGUAAUGGUUGUCAGCGACCCGUCUUGAAACACGGACCAAGGAGUCUAACAUCUAUGCGAGUGUUUGGGUAUCAAACCCAUGCGCGUAAUGAAAGUGAACGGAGGUGAGAACCCGUUACCGGGCGCAUUAUCGACCGAUCCAGAUGUCUUCGGAUGGAUUUGAGUAUGAGCAUAGCUGUUGGGACCCGAAAGAUGGUGAACUAUGCCUGAAUAGGGUGAAGCCAGAGGAAACUCUGGUGGAGGCUCGCAGCGGUUCUGACGUGCAAAUCGAUCGUCAAAUUUGGGUAUAGGUGCGAAAGACUAUCGACC